GUUCUUUGGAACAGGACGUCACAGAGGGUGAGAAUCCCGUACGUGGUCGCUAGCCUUCGCCGUGUAAAGCCCCUUCGACGAGUCGAGUUGUUUGGGAAUGCAGCUCUAAAUGGGAGNNAAAUUUCUUCUAAAGCUAAAUAUUGGCCAGAGACCGAUAGCGCACAAGUAGAGUGAUCGAAAGAUGAAAAGCACUUUGGAAAGAGAGUCAAAUAGCACGUGAAAUUGUUGAAAGGGAAGCGCUUNNAGCCAGACUUGCCUGUAGUUGCUUAUCUGGACUUUUGUCCGGUGCACUCUUCUAUAGGCAGGCCAGCAUCAGUUUGGGCGGUUGGAUAAAGGUCUCUGUCAUGUACCUCCUUUCGGGGAGGCCUUAUAGGGGAGANGACAUGCAACCAGCCUGGACUGAGGUCCGCGCAUCUGCUAGGAUGCAA
This 428-nucleotide ribosomal RNA is filed under the name soil fungal sp. DM042. RNAcentral describes it as "eukaryotic LSU rRNA". It matches the Rfam family "Eukaryotic large subunit ribosomal RNA", at positions 185 to 628 of the family's 3401-position model. Lineage: Eukaryota; Fungi. The record is from RNAcentral.